RNAcentral lists this ribosomal RNA (253 nucleotides) under uncultured bacterium. Its description in RNAcentral is "partial 16S ribosomal RNA". It matches the Rfam family "Bacterial small subunit ribosomal RNA", at positions 524 to 776 of the family's 1533-position model. The record is from RNAcentral.
UACAGAGGGUGCAAGCGUUGUUCCGAAUUAUUGGGCGUAAAGCGCGUGUAGGCGGCUUUGCAAGUCGGGUGUGAAAGCCCUCAGCUCAACUGAGGAAGUGCGCCCGAAACUGCAGAGCUUGAGUGCCGGAGAGGGUGGCGGAAUUCCCCAAGUAGAGGUGAAAUUCGUAGAUAUGGGGAGGAACACCGGUGGCGAAGGCGGCCACCUGGACGGCAACUGACGCUGAGACGCGAAAGCGUGGGGAGCAAACAGG